ACUUCGCAAUGGGGGCAAUCCCGACGAGGGAAUUCCAAGUGCCAGCACUUUGUGUUGGCUGUUCUCCUGUCUAAAAAACAGGAGGAGUAAGGGGCGGGUAAGACGGGUGCCAGCCGCCGCGGUAAUACCCGCGCCCCUAGUGGUGGUCGAUAUUAUUGAGCCUAAAACGUCCGUAGCCGGUCUUUUAAAUCCUUGGGUAAAUCGGGCAGCUUAACUGUCCGAAGUCCGGGGAGACUGGGAGACUUGGGACCGGGAGAGGUCAGAGGUACUUCUGGGGUAGGGGUAAAAUCCUGUAAUCCUGGAAGGACCACCGGUGGCGAAGGCGUCUGACUAGAACGGAUCCGACGGUGAGGGACGAAGCCCUGGGGCGCAAACGGG
This 378-nucleotide ribosomal RNA is filed under the name uncultured archaeon. RNAcentral describes it as "bacterial SSU rRNA". It matches the Rfam family "Archaeal small subunit ribosomal RNA", at positions 347 to 727 of the family's 1478-position model. The record is from RNAcentral.